UACGAAGGGGGCUAGCGUUGCUCGGAAUUACUGGGCGUAAAGCGCACGUAGGCGGAUUGUUAAGUCGGGGGUGAAAUCCUGGAGCUCAACUCCAGAACUGCCUUCGAUACUGGCGAUCUCGAGUUCGGGAGAGGUGAGUGGAGCUGCGAGUGUAUAGGUGAAAUUCGUAGAUAUUCGCAAGAACACCAGUGGCGAAGGCGGCUCACUGGCCCGAUACUGACGCUGAGGUGCGAAAGCGUGGGGAGCAAACAGG
RNAcentral lists this ribosomal RNA (253 nucleotides) under uncultured bacterium. Its description in RNAcentral is "partial 16S ribosomal RNA". It matches the Rfam family "Bacterial small subunit ribosomal RNA", at positions 524 to 776 of the family's 1533-position model. The record is from RNAcentral.